Molecule: long non-coding RNA, 2205 nt
Filed under: Corvus moneduloides (New Caledonian crow)
Lineage: Eukaryota; Metazoa; Chordata; Aves; Passeriformes; Corvidae
Description: lncRNA (ENSCMUG00000019515.1)
Source: RNAcentral
AGGUUGGGGUUGCCGUGCUGGAAACGGCAUUCAGCUGAAAGCAGGGAAUCUCUCGGGGAGAAAUCCUGGCUGGGUGGGACUGUUGUAUGUGUGUCUUGGUCUUAAGUGAGUGAGAUGCCCUGUUAUGGCUGGAAACCUUUUAUGAUUGAACUUUAAAUUAAAAAUAGUGAAUUAACAGUUAUUACUGCCUCCUGGUUUUAUAAGUUGGAUUUUUAAUUUUUUUUUUUUUCCGCAGUGUGCUGUAAAGUGGUACCUUGGCCAUGUGCUUUUGUCACUGCAGGGAGCUGCUGCCAGCAAGGCUGGGGGUGUCUGCGCCAGCAUCUUCCCAAAACCACCAUCAUGGAGGUGGCUCAGUGACGUUUCCACCCUUGCAAGGGCCGGGAUCCCGGGAGCACCCCGCUUUCCCCGCCGCGGCUUUGCCGGGUGGCCCGUUCCUUCCAGAACAUCUAUUUUGGUCGUGUAAAACUUGCCGGGGAGCAGGGAACAGGGAACAGGCAGCGUGUGAAUCACUCGGGGCCAACGGGUUUAAAAAUAAACCCAAGCGGCGGCGAGGAGCAGCCGCCAAGCCCCCGGAUUCCGGCAGGAGUGUGCUCCACACGUCCCAAACCCACCCGUGGGCACUGGCAUCAGCCAGGGAAGUUUAUUGGGACACGCUUGCAGUGGCGGGCACGUGUGUGCAUUGUGUGUGUGCUUGUAAAUACCUGUGUGUGUUAUGGAUGUGCUUGUAAACACGUGUGUGCUUGUAAAUGUGUGUGCAUUGUGUGUGUGUGCUUGUAAAUACUUGUGUGUGUUAUGGGUGUGCUUGUAAACGUGUGUGUGCUUGUAAACGUGUGUGCAAGGUGUGUGUGUGCUUGUAAACGUGUGUGCAUUGUGUGUGUGCUUGUAAAUACUUGUGUGUGUUAUGGGUGUGCUUGUAAACGUGUGUGUGCUUGUAAACGUGUGUGCAAGGUGUGUGUGCGCUUGUAAACGUGUGUGCAUUGUGUGUGUGCUUGUAAAUACUUGUGUGUGUUAUGGGUGUGCUUGUAAACGUGUGUGUAUGGUGUGUGCUUGUUAGCACGUGUGCAUUGUGUGCGUUGCGUGUGCGUGUAAACACGUGUGUGCUUGUGAACACGUGCACGAGCUCGCGCAGACGUGGCUGUGGGUCCUCACACGUACCCUGGUGCACACACGUGCACAGGGGUUGUUGAGCACACAUGCAUUUGGGUACACACUUGCGCGCGUGCAUUAAGGGCCCUUGCACGUGUGCACUUGCACACAUGCACUUGCUCACACAUGCAUGUGGGCCCUUGCACACGUGCGCUCAUGCACAAACUUGCACACACGUGCGUAUAGGUCCUUGCAGACAUACACUUGUGCACAUGCCUGCACACAUGUCCAUAUGCAUCCUUGCACACAGGUGCAUGGGUGUCCUUGCACUGGUGCACAUGCUUGCACGCACGUGUACACACACACACUUGCACUCGUGCUAAGGAGUCCUAGCACUCGUGUGCAUAUAGGUCAUUGCACACCUGUGCCUAUGGGUCCUUGCAAGCCUGCACAUUCCAGUAACGCCUUUGCACACAAGUGCACACGUGUGCAAAUGCCCCCAUGUGUCAUUGCCCAGACUCACACACUGGCCUGAAGCCACAUGUGCUGUGCUUACACACACGUGUGCACUCUUGCAGCGCCUGUAUGUGCUUGCACACGCUUGAACACACAUGCACGUGUUUGUGUAGCCUUGCACAUGCUUGCACACGCACUCACACACACAUGCACACAGCUGCACACGCUCACACCCUUCCCCACGCUCACACGCCCCUGCGCACAUGAGGCAGCGUGCCGGGGAAGCCAGGCCUCCCCCCACCUGGCUGCUGCUUUGGGACUAAUUAAUUAAUUAACGGCAACACCAGGUAUUGAAACUGCUCAGUCUAAUUACAGAUCUUUUGGGGUGAUGUGGGGUGCAGGAGGGAGGUGCUCCCCUCCUCCCCCUUCUGGGGCAGCCCCAGGGGGGCAACAGGGGCAGCGUGGGGUCCAUGGAGGUGGAAAAACUCAACAAAGUGUCCAAACUGACCAUUUUUGAGCCUCUUCUGUGGAUUUAACCCCUGCUCUGAGGUGGGGAACAGAGAGGGGUGAAGUCUGGAGGCUACUAAAGGGCUGUAAGGGGAAGGUGGGACGUUGCUCAGCCCCUUGGCCAGCCCUGACUGGAGCUGGGGGGAUGAUGGGGGG